AUUUUUUUUAAAUAAAAGCGAGAUGUCGUAUAAGGUAAUAGAAAGUUGUUAAGUAGCUAGUUACCGAACGUAGAAAGUGAAUAAAUCUUAAAAUUUACAAUAAUUAUGUUUUAGAAACUAUAAUAAAGUUGACAGUGAAUUUACUCUGUACUUUUUUUUUAAAACAAUUUCCUCUAGAGUCGUGUGUCGGAAUUUAUCGCGUAACCGUGACCGAUCGCUGUCUCUGCUAGGAUACUCCCCGAUAUCUAAAAAUAGUUUAACGUAUCUGUUCGUAUACUUAGAAGUGGCUUAAAAGUACGUUUAAAGAUAUAGUUUCAACUCACCUUAAGACCUUCCGUUCUGUUUGUUCCCGUAGAAUUAUCGAAACGCCUGUUUGGCAAAUUGCCCACCAGGGGAUGUACGGGUUCACAAUAUAAUGGGGCGCCUCUAGCGGCGACCGUAUGGCAGAACCGCAGUGCUGCCAGAGAGAGGAUCGUAGUGGGUGAAUGUGCAUGCUUCGGACGCGAACGGUAAACCGUUAUGUCGGAUAAACAGAGGAAAAUGAACGGGAACUCGACGGAAAAGGGAUCCUUCACCAACCUGAAGGUAAAAUGUGUCAAUUAUUUUAUAAACGAGUAUCCAGUACCACUUGGAAACACAACGCGGGUUGGCGAAAAAAUCCAUUUAGCGAGUUUUCCUAUCGCCACUCGUGUCCUGCGGGGAAGUGCCAUUAAGUCGAAGCUCAUAGACUAACAAUUCCGAAAAGAUUAGGAUUGAAGGAAGUAAACAAAAGAUUAAGUGUUUAGGAGAUUAGUCGUUGACUCCUGGAUGUAUAUAAAUAUAAACGAAACUCGGGGAAUUAUCAAGUAUACUAUAUAGAUGCGCACCCGUUCCUACUACAUAAAUGCAGUAUUAUCGAACACACACAAAAUAACCUUACACUUAAUGAAACUUUCGAAAAUGUCGAACUUUAUAGCAUAAAUUCUAAAUCCAAUAAAAUUUUCUGACAAUGUACAGCAAUCUAGUGUUGAUUUUUAUUAGCAUUAUUCUCUACAUAGAUCGUUAUGGUUUUCAUAAGAUAAAGUC
This 1065-nucleotide long non-coding RNA is filed under the name Androctonus crassicauda. The record is from RNAcentral. Lineage: Eukaryota; Metazoa; Arthropoda; Arachnida; Scorpiones; Buthidae.